GUGCUGUGUCUUUUUUUUUCCUUUUCCUCCACUGAAAUAAUCUUAUUUAUUUGAACCUUCCAAAGGUGGAUAUGGUUAUAGAAGAAGUGGCCGAGAUAAAUAUGGCCCUCCUACUCGCACAGAGUACAGACUUAUUGUGGAGAAUUUGUCAAGUCGGUGCAGCUGGCAAGACCUAAAGGAUUAUAUGCGUCAGGCAGGAGAAGUGACUUAUGCAGAUGCUCACAAGGGACGCAAAAAUGAAGGGGUGAUUGAAUUUGUAUCUUAUUCUGAUAUGAAAAGAGCUUUGGAAAAGUUGGAUGGAACUGAAGUCAAUGGCAGAAAAAUCAGAUUAGUUGAAGACAAGCCAGGUUCCAGACGACGCCGGUCCUACUCCAGAAGCCGGAGUCAUUCAAGGUACUGUUGAUGUCUUUUGUGUGUUGGAGCGCAUCAUAAAUUCAUUAGUGAGCACAUAGAUAAUUUAUUUACAUUUUCCUGUUGAGUUCUUAAUAACAUGAUUCCAUCUGGUUCAAUAACUUAGAAUUUUGAACUGAACAUUUAUGUGUAAAACUCUCGAACUCUUGGUCAUGAGUACAAAUAGAAGUCCCUUCUCUUAGAAAUCAGAGGCUUUGCUCAC
RNAcentral lists this small RNA (613 nucleotides) under Pongo abelii (Sumatran orangutan). Its description in RNAcentral is "retained intron". Lineage: Eukaryota; Metazoa; Chordata; Mammalia; Primates; Hominidae. The record is from RNAcentral.